UACGAAGGGGGCUAGCGUUGUUCGGAUUUACUGGGCGUAAAGCGCACGUAGGCGGAUUGUUAAGUCUGCUGUGAAAGCCCCGGGCUCAACCUGGGAAUGGCAGUGGAUACUGGCAAGCUAGAGUGCGGUAGAGGGGUGUGGAAUUCCCGGUGUAGCGGUGAAAUGCGUAGAGAUCGGGAGGAACACCAGUGGCGAAGGCGGCACCCUGGACCAGCACUGACACUGAGGCACGAAAGCGUGGGGAGCAAACAGG
Molecule: ribosomal RNA, 253 nt
Filed under: uncultured bacterium
Lineage: Bacteria
Description: partial 16S ribosomal RNA
Rfam family: Bacterial small subunit ribosomal RNA
Source: RNAcentral